AUGUCACGUGGGGCUGAGGUGCCUAGCCUGUCUGGUUGGCAGAGCUGUGGGAGCAGCUCUGAAGACAGCUCCCUGCCCUGUCCUUGAACCGGGGCCCCUGAGUACAGCUGACACUGUUAGGUCUUGCCCAGUCCAUCAGUGGGUUCCCUGGGUUCAUCCAAUUGCAGGUGAGGCACCAGAAGCUCAGAGAGGUGCUGUCACCUGGCAAAGCUCCUGCAGCUAAAUGUAGCUGGAGUCUGAACCCUGAAAGUGUGACUUCAGAAUCGGGGGGUGGAGUGCUCAGCUGCUGGGCCAGACAGACCAUGUCAUACAGCUGGUCAAGCCAUUGCCUCCCAGACCUUGAGUGAACAGAGAGCAGCGUGCCUCAUCCUCAGCGUUGCCCUCCCUCCUCUGAUGGACACAGCUCCCCAGUUGCACUCUGUGAUGCCACUGAGCAGGCACCUGACCCCUCUUGACUCUUUUAGUCCUCCCUGCUGUCCCUGUGGGACAUGCUGGUGUUCUCCUUGUAUAGACAAGGAAACUAAAGCUGGGAGCUCCAGGGCAUCAGAGCUGGACCGGAAGCCUCGGUAUGCCGUUCUAUGUAAAAAAAAAAAAAAGUACAUUUUAAGGCUAGAACCUCCUAGGGAAGGCAGAGGCAGGUGGAUCUCGGUGAGUUCGAGGCCAGCCUGGUCUAUAAAGGGAGUCCAGGACAGCCAAGGCUACACAGAGAAACCCUGUCUUGAAAAAAACAAAAUAGAAACUUACUAUGUAGCCCUGGCUUGCCAAAACUCACUCUCUAGGUAGACCAGGUUAACCUCAAACUUACAGAGAUCUGCCUGCCUCAGCCUCCAGAGGCUGAUAGUAAAGGCACUCACCAAACUGUCCGGCAGCUCUAUAUACUUAAACUCUCCAUAUACUUUAUUCAUUUCACUGCCUGGUUUUUGUUUGUUUUGUUUUGUUUGUUUUGUAGACCAGGUUGGCCUCAAAGUCAGAGAUUUGCUUGCCUCAGCCUCCUGAGUGCUGGGAUUACAGGCCUGGGCCAGCACUUACCUCUUGAUUUUCAUCGUGGAGAUGAUGGACUUACUGUAAUGCCGCUCUCCCACACUAGAAGAUUUGGUUCUUGGGCCAAAUAGUUGCUCCCCAUUGAAAGGAUGUUGUACUUUCUCUUACUGGAGACAAAGGUUUGCAUGUCUGGGAUGAAGUAUGGAAUAAAGGAACCGGAAGAUCCAGGAGAAAAGGAUUUUCAGUGUCACAUAAGAUGUGUGACUGGGUCUGCCUGGGAGGCCAGGGACCAGACUGUGGGCAGCCAACUUGCCUGUUUCUGUCUCCUGCCUGAGCCAGCCCUAGUCCCCAGGCAUAUUCUCUCGUGGUUUCUCUUAACCACUGUUCAUUGAUUAUCCAGCCAUACCUCAGCAAACUUUGCAUUUCCCAGUCUCUCAGCAAAUACAUUCUCACCAUUUUUCUGUUAACUCAGGAACCCAGAGCUUCGGGCUCUCAAGACGUCAUCUUCAUUUUCUGCAGAAUGGAGAGGAGCGGAAGCCACAGCAAGCUGCCCAGCUUUUUAUCAUGGUGGAGGGGAGGAUGAAUACAGGCCUCAUAUGCUCUGUGUUCCUCAAAGGUCUGUCGUCUGUGGAGUGAGCCUGACCUAAUCGGUGUGACCUGGGCGUGAGCCUCUGAAGGGUCCCAGAGUCCCCAGAACUGCUCUCCACCUGAUCCUCAUCUGUGGUACUGGUGUGUACAGGAGGAAAGAGAGAGGCCACAGACCCACAGAUCCACAGUACAGGAGUUCUGUCUGAAUGGCAGUGUUAAACUUACAGUUUGGCUCCUGAAUGCUUCAUGGCACAUUCUUUUGUUGUUGUUUUGUUUUUCAAGACAGGGUUUCUCUGUGUAGCCUUGGCUGUCCUGGAACUCACUCUGCAGACCAGGCUGGCCUUGAAUUUGGAAAUACUCCAGCCUCUGCCUCCUCGAGUGCGGGGAUCAAAGGGGAGCGCCACCACUGCCCAGAUAUUUUCACCCUGUUAUUGUACAGAUGACAUUAAAACAAAAAUGGGCCCAGAGCCACAGCGCCACAUCCUUUCUACCAGUUCCUGACAGUCAGCUGCUCUCUCUCGGCUGUGCUUUUUCCCAGCAGUGGCUCAGGAAACCAAGAAAAUGAGGUUGAGCUCCCUAGUCCUGCUCCAUGUUUGGAGGGGAGGAUCUAAGCUACUGGGCUUGGAUGGAACUGUGGUCCAUAGCCAGGGGUGACUUCCUGCCUUCAAGUGGACAGAGCAUUGCCGUAGAGGAGGCCUGACUUGCAGCCUUGGCCCCACUAGGAAUCUGCCCUCAAGGACCUAACCCUUUCUCAAAAAAAAAAAAAAAAGUUUUUUUUUUUUUUUUUUGAGAAAGGGUUUCUGUCUGUGUAGCCUUGGCUUGUAGACCAGGCUGGCCUCGAACUCACAGCAAUUCUUCGGCCUUUGCCUCUUUGAGUUCUGAGAUUAAAGGCAUGUGCCCCCACAACUAGCAUAAAUUUUUUUUUCUUGUCUCUCUCUCUCUCUCUUUUUCACCUGAGCCCUUUCUAAGCCUUGGCUUUCCUCAUCCACUUGCGGGAGAAGUAACUGGCCAGCCAUUCCCAGAGUGGGUCCCUGUGACGAAGGGUUGUGCCUAAGAGGAGGGGAGAUUUCUGAGCAGACUCCUUGGGGAGAGGCUGGGAUGUAGCUGGUUUGGGAGAAUAAUGCUUACCUGUGAUUCUAGCACUCAGGCGAUGGAGCCUAGAGAUUCAGAAGUUUAAGCUCAUCCUCAGCUACACAGAGAACUCCAGGCUAUGCCAGGCUACAAGAGACCACAUCUCAAAAGAAAUUGGAGGUGGAGGGGAGAACAGGACUGCCCCUGGAUUUUGUUGUUUUGUUUUUGUUGGGUUUUUUUUGGUUUUCUGAUACAGGGUCUCUGUAGCCCUGGCUGUUCUGGAACUUGCUGUGUAGACCAGGCUGGCCUCAAACUCACAAAGAUCCACCUGCCUCUGUCCUGAGUGCUGGGAUUGAAGGUGUGUGCCACCGUGCUAAGCUUUCAGUGGCGUCAUGGUUUGGUUUGGUUUUGGUUUUGGUUUUUCGAGACCGGGCUUUUCUGUGUAACCCUGGCUGUCCUGUAACUUGCUCUGUAGCGGAGUCUGGCCUUGAACUCAUAAAGAUCCACCUGCCUCUG
Long non-coding RNA from Psammomys obesus (fat sand rat), 3156 nucleotides. RefSeq lists it as uncharacterized. The record is from RefSeq and is a predicted model, not a curated record. Lineage: Eukaryota; Metazoa; Chordata; Mammalia; Rodentia; Muridae. The transcript is spliced from 2 exons.